UACGUAGGGUGCGAGCGUUGUCCGGAAUUAUUGGGCGUAAAGAGCUCGUAGGCAGUCUGUCGCGUCGGCUGUGAAAUCCCGAGGCUCAACCUCGGGUCUGCAGUCGAUACGGGCAAACUGGAGUGUUGCAGGGGAGACUGGAAUUCCUGGUGUAGCGGUGAAAUGCGCAGAUAUCAGGAGGAACACCGGUGGCGAAGGCGGGUCUCUGGGCAACAACUGACGCUGAGGAGCGAAAGCGUGGGGAGCGAACAGG
RNAcentral lists this ribosomal RNA (253 nucleotides) under uncultured bacterium. RNAcentral describes it as "partial 16S ribosomal RNA". It matches the Rfam family "Bacterial small subunit ribosomal RNA", at positions 524 to 776 of the family's 1533-position model. The record is from RNAcentral.